AUCCCUGCAGAGAAACAGCCUUUACCAGGCAUGGGUUCAGUAUCCAAGCCUGAGCAAAGAGAUUGCUCUUAAAGUUUGUCAUAAGGGCACCGCUUAACUUUUCUCUGGCUGCCGGUUGACCUUAUGUCUCACCAUAUCUUUUCCCAACAUGGAAACAGUGGCAAUAAAUUUAUCUGAUGUUGACUUGAGUAAAUAUAUCACCACUGUUGCUGGAGUCAUGACACUAAGUCAAGUUAAAAGCUUUGUUCGAAAGAAUGGUGUCAAUGAAGCCAAAAUAGAUGAGAUCAAGAAUGACAAUGUCCAAGACACAGCAGAACAGAAAGUUCAACUGCUUCGUAAUUGGCAUCAACUUCAUGGAAAGAAAGAUGCGUAUGACGCAUUGAUUAAAGGUCUCAAAAAAGCCAAUCUUUGUACUCUUGCAGAGAAAAUUCAGACUAUCAUCCUCAAGGACAUUACUAGUGACUCAGAAAAUUCAAACUUCAGAAAUGAAACCCAAAGCUUGGUCUAGAGUGAAAAACAACAAAUUCAGUUCUGAGUAUAUGCAAUUAGUGUUUGAAAAGAUUCUUAAUAGCUGGCUGUAAAUACUGCUUGGUUUUUUACUGGGUAUAUUUUAUCAUUUAUUAGCGCUGAAGAGCCAACAUAUUUAUAGAUUUUUAAUAUCUGAUGAUUCUGCCUCCAAGGAUGUUUAAAAUCUAGUUGGGAAGACAAACAUCAUCAAGAGUAAAUGCAGUGGCAUGCUAAGUGCCCAAAUAGGAGUGUAUGCAGAGGAUGAAAGAUUAAGAUUAUGCUCUGGUAUCUAACAUAUGAUUCUGUAGUAUGAAUGUAAUCAGUGUAUGUUAGUACAAAUGUCUAUCCACAGGCUAACUCCACUCCGUGAAUCAACAGAAGAAGCUAUGACCUUUUGUUGAAAUAUCAGUUACUGAACAGGCCACUUUGCCUCUAAAUUACCUCUGAUAAUUCUAGAGAUUUUACCAUAUUUCUAAACUUUGUUUAUAACUUUAAGAAGAUCAUAUUUAUGUAAAGUGUAUGUAUUUGAAUGCAGAAUUUAAAUAAGGCUCUACCUCAAAGACCUUUGCACAGAUUAUUGGUGUCAUAUUAUACAAUAUUUCAAUUGUGAAUUCACAUAGAAAACAUUAAAUUAUAAUGUUUGACUAUUAUAUAUGUGUAUGCAUUUUACUGGCUCAAAAUUACCUACUUCUUUCUCAGGUAUCAAAAGCAUUUUGAGCAGGAGAGUAUUACUAGAGCUUUGCCACCUCUCCAUUUUCACCUUGGUGCUCAUCUUAAUGGCCUAAUGCACCCCCAAACAUGGAAGUAUCACCAAAAAAAUACUUAAUAGUCCACCAAAAGGCAAGACUGCCUUAGAAAUUCUAGCCUGGUUUGGAGAUACUAACUGCUCUCAGAGAAAGUAACUUUGUGACAUAUCAUGAACCCAUGUUUGCAAUCUAAGAUGAUAAAAUAGAUUCUUAUUUUUCCCCCACCCCUGAAAAUGUUCAAUAAUGUCCCACGUAAAACCUGCUACAAAUGGCAGCUUAUACAUAGCAAUGGUAAAAUCAUCAUCUGGAUUUAGGAAUUGCUCUUGUCAUGCCCUGAAGUUU
Molecule: small RNA, 1595 nt
Filed under: Pongo abelii (Sumatran orangutan)
Lineage: Eukaryota; Metazoa; Chordata; Mammalia; Primates; Hominidae
Description: processed transcript
Source: RNAcentral